AGUCGGCAAGGCGCACAGGAAGCGGCGGCGCCCUAGACAGCUGCAGAGGAGAGAUGCCACAAGGGGAGGAGGAGCUCAGGCGGAGCAACUCCUCGCUUCUGUCUCCAUGUCCAAAGUAGUAUCCCUCGAGGCUGCAGUUCUCAAAAAUAUAGAUCACAAUCUAAUUUGUCCUCUCCUUGAUCCCCUUCUUCCAAAGAUUGAAUCUCUUCAGUUCCAAAAUUCAAAUCAAUGCACAAUCAUCAUCUUAAACAAACACAAGAUCCAAUCCCAGCCUCCCCGGAUGCUUUGCUCCUCAAUAUUUAAAUCCCCUCAGUUUCACCAAGCACCAUGAUUUUUCAUAAGAAUUGAGUGUUGGUCAGUUGGAAGAUGGAGACAGUUUGAAACAGGUUGAGCGGUCGUCACCAUCGGCGAGGCUACGAAGUGGACGAACAACACUCCCUCUACGCAGGCAGGUAACCCCAUAUUCUUAAAUUCCAUGCUCUAUUCAACAGUUCUACAUUAAAUUCAUCAUCAAAAUUACAUAAAUCGGCGUAUCUGUUGUGUGUCAUGUAGAGCAAGUGUUUUUCCAUGAAAGAGUCAAAUACUGGCAAGAAGCUCACACUUUGAUGUGUACAUGAGGCUGAGGCGCUGAGCGAUUUUGAUGUUUGAGAAAAGUUCCUACAAACAAACUUGAGCUCUCAAAGAACUGCAAGUGUCUGAUACAUCGCCAAACCUAAUUAAGUUGUGUUGUAGGGUUCCUGCGGGCGGACAGCAAGAGGUACACGCACGGUGGAAGCAGGCAGGUGGUGGGUGCGGCGACAACUGCGAGCUGCAUGUCUCCGGCAGCUGCGUUGCCUUCUACGCUAGACAAUUAUAUUAUACAUCCGCUAAGGGUAACUACAAGGUGUUCUUCAUGGAGCUCAAUUGAGCUGAAUUAGUCGAGUUGUUGGGUAAGCUAACUAAGCAUCCUUUUGGAACUAUGCUUUCAUCACGUAUUUGAAAGAUAGCAGAACAUACAUUUCAUCCACAUGCAAAGAACUGAAGUAAUUAAAGAUAGUGUGAAUUAGUACAAUUUACUGCAGAUUCGAGAACUAUUGUUAACAUUGCAAUGGAAUACUUCAGAUUUAGUAGAAUUUGUUGUAAGGUAAUGAUAUUACGUAUAUAAAUGAUUGAAAACAAUUUAAUUAGUUGUUUCCUUCUGUGUUAUUUUUAAAAUAUAAUUUCACAGAAUUAGCCUUUUGAUUCAUUUUGUUUUCUAUGAUAAAUUUGCGAUUACUAUGUCAAAUGUAAGAAACCUAUAUAUUAAGAUGCCUUUCUUCAUGUAAAUUGUGUAGACCUUAGAUUACUAGGCUGAUUGUAUUCUCUUAGCAUUGCUCAUCGUGCCUUGAAAGAAUGUGUUUCCAACAGUGCUAGAACUGUUUAAAAAUGUCAGGAAUGAUAUCGUCCGCAUCAUCAGUUGAUGAGAGAAAUAUGUGCAGAAGAUUUUUAUAGGAUCAUUCCAGGCUUAGACAUAAGUCGUAGAUAAUUGAUUUACAUCCAAUAACAACCUAGAAAGUGUUUGACACUCAAGAUAUAAAAUUGACUUUGGAAUCAAGAAGUUUUUAUUCCAUAUGUAUAUAUGACUAUCAUAUAUGCUAGACUAUCAUAUAAUUAUAUACGAUCAUUAAGUAUCCACUAUUCACAAUCACGUACGACUAGAAGGUUUUUACAAGAUUGUGAUGUAGCGGCUGGGCAUGCCGGGCCACAUAUCAUGAAAUCCCUCCUCUCUUCUCCAUCUUGAUGAAUUCAGCGGAGAGCCACCAAUAUUUUUGCUUUAUUCGUAAUUUCUCAUCAAGACAUUUUUUUUGGUUUUGUACAUUUUUCACGACACAACGCUUACCAGACUAUGAAUUAUAGGGAGUGAAGGAGAACCAACCAGCUGAGAUAAUCUGUGUGGCAUUUGCUGCCAACUAGCAGAGUUGUGUACAUAUAGAAAUCAACCACUGUCAGCCAAAUCUUUUUGAUGUUUAUAGAAGCUUUAUAGACGUUUUCCUAAGUAAAGGAUUUCGAGAUUGUACGUUUUUUUCCAAUAUGUGCUAACUUUCAGAUUAUCUGCAUGUAUAACAAACAUUUCUUUUGUCCAGGAAUAAGAAACAUAUCUUAUAAAGUGUAUAAUAUUUUAUUGGUAGAUUUGUAAGAUUUAAGUAUUGUUGGUUGUGCAAGAAAAUAGCUUCAUGUAUGGAUUGUUGAGUUACACAUGCUUCUGUUUAUGGUUUGUUUGUUGUAUUUGGAAACAGAUCUAGAUAGAUGAUCUUUAUAAUACAGAACAUUCAUAUUAAAAUUUUCCUGUGUUUUUAGCCAUGUAUUCCAUAUUAUCAUUGUUUUUUAAUAAUAUGUGUGAUCCUUCCUUUGCAGUUACAGUAUUCAGAUAGCAUAGUUUCCACUUACAAAAUGCUAAAAGAAUUUUCAGUUACACUUUCCGAGUGCCCUCACAGUGAUUUUCAUGUUUCUUGCAAGGGCUUCUACAUAAGGAUAAAUCUGUUCAAAAAAAUAGUAGAUUUAUGUAGUCCCAUUAUGCGCAGCAAUAUUCAUGCAUGCCUCUACAUCUACUUCAUUGAAUAGUAAUCUGCAAUCUUCAUUAGCAUAGAACAACAAAAUCUGUGAGAAAACUUACACAUCUUUAUCUCAAAUCGUUAAAUGGGUUUAGGUACUACCAAUUUCAAUAUGGUCGCUUAUGUUUCUUUUGUCAUUGAUAGUUUCUCACAAGUCCUAACUUCUACAGGUAAGGAAUUGAUUUACCUCUUGAUAGUUUUCUUUCUUUUGGAAUUUAUCUUUCUGUUGCAACCAAAUUACAUUAUUAUUUUCUGUAAAUCAAAGUUGAAAUCCAUGGUUUCUCUAUGCUGGUAAAAAAUAAAGUACCCGAUCUCUUUUCUUAACACAAUAUGCAUCUUAUCUUCUCUCAUGUAAGCAAUCUUGAUAAGACUCCUCUAUCUUUAAACCACACUCAAGUCCAUGGUUUUCCUCGGCGCGACAAACUAUAGUUGGAUCAGUGUUUCAAAAGACGUGGCGUGGGCUUGAAGGAUAUGCCGAAGGCAUCCGAUGGUUGGAGGGAUCGCCAAGGGGAGGUUCCCAGGGUUAUGAACUACCAAGUAAUUUGUAUUUUCUUUAUUACUGUAUUUUUUGUUUGUCCUAAAUACUAGAUUCAUAUUUCUUGCUUUCCACUGUUUGUAAUAUUAUCCAAACUCCUCACAUGUUUAUGUUGCUUGAAUAUUUCAGACU
RNAcentral lists this long non-coding RNA (3237 nucleotides) under Triticum aestivum (bread wheat). Its description in RNAcentral is "long non-coding RNA (TAES_LNC010505)". Lineage: Eukaryota; Viridiplantae; Streptophyta; Magnoliopsida; Poales; Poaceae. The record is from RNAcentral.